UUAUCAUCUUUUGGGAGAGAGACAUCACUAGUGAACAUCAUGUGACUCCGGUCCAUAUCACCACCAUAGCUUACACCUCCAUCAUUUACUGCUUUCAUUUACUUUUCCGUUGCAAUCACUAUCACUGUUCCCGCUUGUGUUUUGAUCCUUUGCAAACUACAAGGCCGGAGAGAUUGACAACCUCUCUGUACUCGUUGGGAGCAAAGUUAUUUGUGUGUGUUCAGGUCCACGUCUUCUGCUAGUGUCAGGGCAGGGGACACCUACUUGUUGAUCCUUGGAGUCCUCCUGGUUCGAUAACCUUACACUCUCCGUGUAAGGGAAAACUUGCUGCUGACUACAUCUCCACCUUCCAACAUCUGCAAGAACCUCUUCAUCCUUGUUAUUUUAUCAUCACAUUCCUUGUCCUUAUUUGACGAAUCUGAACCCAUGAACUAUUUAUAGAAGUACUCCUCUUCUCAAUCCAUCGUGUUUGCAUCAAAGUAACAACGAGAACACCAAAAAAAUGGCCAUGGUAUUUGUCUCGAUAGUUGUUCAGAGUAGUG
This 542-nucleotide long non-coding RNA is filed under the name Hordeum vulgare. RNAcentral describes it as "long non-coding RNA (HVUL_LNC014374)". Lineage: Eukaryota; Viridiplantae; Streptophyta; Magnoliopsida; Poales; Poaceae. The record is from RNAcentral.